Megalobrama amblycephala (Wuchang bream) is the source of this 6409-nucleotide RNA transcript. It is a transcript of the gene named matrix metalloproteinase-20-like, with no coding region annotated. The record is from RefSeq and is a predicted model, not a curated record. NCBI's taxonomy places the organism in Eukaryota, Metazoa, Chordata, Actinopteri, Cypriniformes, Xenocyprididae. The transcript is spliced from 12 exons.
UGGGAUUUUUUUUUUUAAUAACAACAAAAAGUUCUAUUUUUGGCAAAUGUUAAGGCCCAGCAGCAAAGACACUGGUUAAUAAAGUGAGAUUAAAUACAUAAAGUAUAUUUGUGUAAUUUAAUAUACACAAAUCUUGUGUAUAUUAAAUUACUUCAUCCAACUUAUCACCUCUUGUGAUAAGUUGGAUGAAAACAUGAUGCGUUUCUUACUCUAUAGCCCCGUCUGUUGGUGAGAAUGCCUGUGGUUUAUGUGUCACAUGACUUGACACAAGGAGAUGGCAGUAGAGACCUCUCCAGUUUCACUGGCACUCUGUGAAUAGUUUAAAUGAUGUAACUGUGCUGCACUAAAGUUGAGCAGAUGCUUUUUCAUCCAGGUUUGUGUAGCAUACUAAUUGUAUGGGUCAGAUAGAAAACUAAUGAAGGAGAACAGUUGUAGCCUAAAGUUUUGGCAAUUACCUAAAUUUUGUGUUUCACAAAGUUUGCUGCUUCGGUUGUUGUGGUGUUGAUUUCACAUAGAUCAUUUGCUUUUUCAAUAAAUUUAGACAUUGUUUCUCUGAAUCCUCUGCCAAGUCUUGUGUAAAAUUAAAUGUAGAGAUAUAACUUAUACAUUAGUAUUCAAAGGCUUCUUUUCUAAUGCAACCAUAUAAAUAUAACAAUGAGUCAGUCUGAAAGAGCAUGUACCAUUUCCAAGUCAUUUAUCACUGAAUAUCUUGCCUACACAAACCUUAAAAAACAUUAUAGCAUUGUUUAAUAUAAUAUUUUAAUAAUAUACAUAUAAUAUUAUAGUUUAGUACUGGUUUGGUGCCCUUGUUUAUUUUGAGGGUAUUCAUUUAUUAUUAAUUUUGUCCGUUUACAGAUUCCAGAUUGCAAUGAUUUCAAUCUUUGUCAUCAUGUGGAUAUAGUCUUGCAAAAUCUUGCUUAUCCAGUCACAUUGCAGAAGAGACUGAUCUAUUAAAAACAUCAAAACAAGCUCCAAAAUAACAUUACCAAAACAUUAUCCCUAUGAUGACAAAUGGUGUUGGCUAAUAUUGGACUUGUGUAAAAGAGAUAUCCUUAAUGUUAUUCAUCACAUUCAUUUGAAAAUACUCCUCAUUUUUAGCAUACAUACUUAUCGUAUGUCCUCUUCACACCUCGUAUAUUAGAUCUUCUAGCAGUUCUUAUAAAGUCUAAAGCAAUGCAAUUUCUUACUGUUCAAAAGAAUUAAAUAUGAUUGCCUAUAGCCAUAUGAUAACAAGAAUCGUCUUUUGCAAGGGUGAGUGGUUGUGCAAUGCAACGCAAUCUGUGGAUUACUGGCUCACGGCUAUGUAUUGUGAAAUCAUUGCAGAAAACAAGAUGCCACAGAGACAUAUGAGGCGAGCUGUUAAUUGUGUAAAUAUAUAUAUAUAUAUAUAUAUAUAUAUAUAUAUAUAUAUAUAUAUAUAUAUAUAUAUAUAUAUAUAUAUAUAUAUAUACUGUAUGUUUGCUUAAACUAAAGAGAUUGUAUUUCUGUCACUAAAUGAUAAUAGGUCCGUUCAAUCAUGAUGAUUGUUGAAAUUAAACUGGCUAUUUCCUUCUUGCUUUAAGGCACCCUGGCAGGGCUCUUGGCAGGCAUGUAAGGCUCAGUGUGUCCAAGAAGGGAAAUGCUGUUGCAUGUUUCAGGAUGUGUUUUCCUUUUUCCUUUUUUUCCUGUAUGUUUGAUGAUCGUGAGAAAGAACAAUGUUUUCUACCCUUUUAGACAUUCCCUGGGUUGUCUGGAGUCCGCUUACAUACUGUACAUGCUACAAAACGAGCCCAGUUGUACAAGGAAUUUUAUUUUAUUUAUUCUCCUCACCACAAACAAUUUUACAAUUAGCCACUUUAGGAUUUUAAGUCUGUGAGCCCGCAAUUACAUCUGCUGCAAACAUUCUUUUGCAUUUCUUGGACUGUAACUUAAAAUUACACGUUUCUUUAAAUACUGUCCUCCUACUCAUUCAGGUUACCCAUUUUAGCACUGUACAACAACAAAAAAAACAUUUAUAGAGGGUUUUUUGCAACGUCUGCUUUACUGGAAUCCAACACCAAAAAAAUGUCUUGAGACAUAUCCCUUCAUUCUCCUAAAACAAAUUAAAUAGAAAUUGAAAGGAAAAUUAACUAAAGGCCUCAAAACUAUGGAAGCAUUAGUCAGGGUUGGGCAAAAAUACAUCAAAAUGUAUUUUAAAAUAAAAUACCAAAUACCUUAAUUUUAAGUGUACCAAAAUAAACUACAAAAUACAGCAGCCAACCAUGUAUCAAAAUAAACUAUUGUAUUCUUGUAUUUUAAAAUACUAAAAAAUACUUUUACAAGGGAGCAUGAAAUUUCUUCGCAAACCUUCCAUCAACUGGCCUAUUUGAUUGAUCUCUUCAUUUUUGUUUAAAUUUUGUUUAAAUGAGUAUCAUGUUUUACCAUGACUAACAUCGAUCUAGCUUACUGAAGCGUUUAAAAGGUGUUUCAUAGCAGAGCAACAAACACACAGAGUAGCAUUAUGACAACUUUCAACACACAAAUGUAUCUAAUAUGAUAAACAGUGCUGCUUAACCCCACAUACACUUGACCAAAAAAGCAGAAGCGGCGACUGCGGCAUAAUAAAAGUUCCGCUGCUCUCGAGACAUGUGUCGCGCUCGUCUCUCAUUAGCAACCUCUCCAGCCGUCUCGUUCAGCUCCAACAUCACUCGGCCCUGCUCUGCUUUAUACUACAGUAACUUUAAUAAUCUUAUCCAUGAACAUGAUUUCUGCCCGAGUCCCGUCCCGAUUCUUUUCCACCGGCUGUAGACGUGAAGACAACACAUCCCAUGAUUCCACAAAACCAAGGAUAAGCGACUGAAUAAGCGACCUCUAGCGGUGAAAAUUUACAUAUUGUUGCUUUAACAGAUCAAAUAUUCACAUAUCCCUGUGAUCUCCCAGAUGAAGGUUAGUUUUAAAGUAACCAACAGUUUAAUUUUUAAGAGUUUGCAAAUGACUCGUAAUUGUAUCCUAAUUUAGUUACAUGGAGUUUGGUAACAAAGGGCCUACUUUGCAUCAGCAACACUGACUCAAUAACAAACAAGUCAUUUAUAAGUAGACAACUGAUGGCAACUAGUAUCUAACAAAUUAAUUAAUUGUUAAUCAUAAAUAUAGGAGGCUGCUGCAAUAUGACAAAGAGUGAAAAAUUUAAGGGGGUCUGAAUACUUUCCGUACCCACUGUAUAUAUAUAUAUAUAUGUAUAUGUACACACAAUAUUUAAUAAUAUUAUUGUGUUUUUAUGAAAUGAGUGAUUGAAUUCACAGUGAAAUUCAAGAAACAUGAAAGUAGUGUCACCAGGUUCAGGGAUGAGUGGUGUAGAUAGAGUGCAAUAGUCAGGAUCCCAUUCAUUUUCUACAUAUGGAAAUUUAUUUAUAACUAUAAAUUAUAUACCUUAAAGGACAGGACUACUAUGAAUAGCUACUCUCUGAUUGGUCUCAAAACUAUGAAAGCAUUCAAAUUCCAGUGAUGAUGUAUUUCAAGAACAUUGGUGCAAUGAACAGUAAAAUAAAGCAAAGUUUCACUUUCUUUAAAAGCAAAUGAAAAACGUUCGUCUUUGAAAUUGUAAAGAUUGUAUCAAAAAGUAUUUAUACAUAAACUGUCGUAUCAGCUUUUAAAAGAAAAAGAAAAGAAAACAAGAAUGUUUAAAUAAAAAUAUUUACACAACUAGACUUGCGUAGUAUUCUGCCAGGUUCUCAAGGAAAGAAAAUAACUGUGCAUUCAUGUGGUGCAGAUCACCAGAUAUACUGCAAGUAACACUCCAUUGUGCAAAACAUUGUUGAUAUUUGAGCUAUUUAUGGUGGGGGGUAGGGGGGCUUAUUCCAGAUGUUUUUUUGUUUUUUGUUUUUCAAUUCUAUUCUCUCCAACAAACAGCAGAUAAUGGAAGAUACAUUUCAUUGGCCAUGAAAUACUGCAGGAAAUACGGUGGAUACCACUCAUGUGAAAUCUAGGAAUUGCUUUACCACUUUUUGAGGAGCUUCUGUGGUCUGAAGAAGGGAGAUGCAGGUUUUGCUCUGUCUGGUUUGUGCCUUUGGCAUUUUUGGUCAGUAUCAUCCAGCACCUUUACCACUCGAAGAUGAUGGAUCGGUACAUCCAACGAGACCUGCUCAGAAUGACCUGUCCCUGGCAACAAAAUACCUGCAGCACUUCUACAGUUUCCAAGCGGAUCCUACAGGCCGUAGAAGGAGGAGUCGUCCCUCUUUCUCUUCCAAACUGAAGGAUAUGCAGAGCUUUUUUGGGCUGAACAGGACAGGAACCCUGAACCCAGAAACCCUCGCUGUCAUGAGGACUCCUCGAUGUGGCAUCUCAGAUGUGGAGGAUUACAGUCACAGACGUGGAAACAGGUGGAAGAAAAACCUCAUCACCUAUGGUGUUGGGAGGUAUACCAGUGACUUACCAGUGAAUACGGUGGAUACUCUGAUAGCGUCGGCUCUGGAUGCAUGGGCGAAGGCCAGCCCUCUCACUUUCCAGCGGUCAUAUUCUCACCAGGCAGACAUCAUGGUGGAGUUUGUUGGAAAUGAACAUGGCGACUCCUUUCCCUUUGAUGGUCCAGACGGCACACUGGCCCAUGCUUUUGGCCCAGGGGAUGGCAUAGGUGGGGACGUUCAUUUUGAUGAAGCUGAAGCAUGGACGGCUGGGUUCAAAGGAUUUAACCUAUAUGUAGUAGCUGCACAUGAGUUUGGUCAUGCACUUGGUUUGAAGCACUCGCAAAACCCAGAAUCAGUGAUGUAUCCGACAUAUAAACAUAAGAAAACACAGAGUCUGCUCUCUGGUGAAGAUAUCAUGAACAUCAAUACACUCUAUGGGCCAAGGGACAAAAGGCCCUUUCCAUCUUCAAGAUUUAGCUGGAGCUAUCCCAGCAGCCCCUGGUACAGUGGUUCAUAUUUCCCUGUGUCAUUCAAGGACACAUGUAAUCCUGAUCUGACUUUUGAUGCUGUGACUACUGUAGGAGAGGCUGUUUUCUUCUUCAGGGACAAGUACUUGUGGAUCAAGCACAAUAAUCAAAAUGAUAUAAAGGAAGGCCCCAUCAGCAAUUUCAUGCCAAAAAUCGAUUGUCAGAUCAACGCCGCUUAUUGGGUCCCUCAGCGGUCAACAGCGUAUCUGUUCAAUGGGACGAUUUUCUGGACCGUGAAAGGAUCCCAAGUAAAAGGCAGACCGAAAAACAUCAGUAGUCUGGGGUUCCCAUCAUGGGUCCAGCAGAUAGAUGCUGCGGUCCACAUUCACAAAACUGUACACACCCUAUUCUUCACCGGACAUCAGUACUGGAGGUAUAAUGAACACAACAAGACUUUGAAUGACUCAAGCCCACGUAACAUUUCUGACGAUUUCCCAGAAAUAAAUGGACCCAUAAGUGCAGCAACUUAUAAAGAUGGUUCUCUUCAUUUCUUUGUUGGCUCAGAUGUGUACAAAUAUGACGUCAAACUAAAGGAAAUUAUUGGAGCAGAUAAAACAACUUCCUGGCUUGGAUGUUAAUGGACAUUCAUUAGACUAAUAGUUCCUAAAUCUAAUUGCAAUCAUUAUUUUGGCGAUUCAAUAAAGUGGCUCAGAAAUGACACACCUGUAAAGAUGGUUGAAUGUUGUAUUGAAUUGUAUAGCAUUGUAUUUCAUGUGAUAAAUGCAUCUACUGUUUAAUGUCUUUGGAACAUUUUAAAUAUGCAAAUGUAUCAAAAAAAGUCAGAAAGUGGUGUAGAUUAAAAUGUAUUUUCAUCUGGCAAAAAGACAAUCAUAAAAUUUAUGAGUCUAUCAUUACUUCUAAAGAAAAUAACUUGUUUGCAUUAAGCUCUGCACUUGCAUGACUGAGGUAAACCAAAGUAGUUAGCCUGAAUAUGCACUAAUCAGCGUGUCUCUAUGAUUGUAAUAAAGAAAAGUACUUGCUUUUCAUGCAAAAUGAACAUUUAAGAAUAUACAAAAUGAACAGAAUAUAAAAUCAUUUACUACAAAUCAUGAAACAAUCAUAAUCCUCUUCACUCCCCCGUAAAGCCAACUAAGACUUCUGAUGAAAAGCUAGACGUGACCUCAUUUUGUGGAUGACAAAAGCCACUAAAUACCUGACAGUAAAUUCUUGUUUGAGGGCCCGGGUCCCACGUGAUCUCUUACCAUCUUAAGGUAUGCUUGAGUUGUACAAGACACAGACAUAAAAACGAGAACAUGAGUGUGCCAUGGUCAAAAUGAGCUGGUUGUGGCCUUGGAUCUUGCUGUGUUGGAUGGUGAAUACAGACAUUGUAAGGACCUCACGCGUGACUCUUCAGAGCCCCAGUCCAGAGGACGUCCAACAUGCUGAGAUAUAUCUGCAUCAGUUCUAUCACCUGAAGAUGCGCAGUCGCAGUAAGAGGCAUGCAGAACUCAUGAAGGAGAAGACCAGAGCAAUGCAACAUUUCUUUGACCUGAAGGAAAGUGGUCUUCUGGAUCAGAAAAC